GGGGGCGGGGAGGCUAAAGACAGACACAGGUGCAGUCCAGGAGCCUGAGUCCUAGGCGAGAACCAGAAUGGGAGUGGUUGGUGCCUGGCAUGCAGGUGGGCGCCUUGAGGGGUCCCCACCUGUGAGCCAUCGUGAGGGACUUGUGGCCACUGCAGUGUGGAUGUACCAGCCAGGGCAGGAGACCCCCAGCCUCAGACAGCAUUGCCCUCUGUGUGCCCCUCUGGCCGGCAUCCCUGUUCCAACCCCGGCAGGUGGGGAGAGUGGCCAGCAGGUUGCCAAGCUGGCUGAUGACCCUCCUGGAAUGAGACAGGACCAUGGAAGACAUUUUUAAACAUUGUGUCAAGAAAGCAAAACCAAGGGAGGCACAAUCCCCCUCGACCUUGAUGCCGGAUUCGCACCUGCUGGCAGAAGGGAGGCCCAUGCAUCACCAACCCCCGUGUGCUGGUUCCCCGAGGCUCAAGGUCAUGAGAGACGUGGAAGGCCUCCCAGAUGUGGUCCUCGCUGUCGCCAGCCUUCACCUUCCAGGCCAUCAGGCCCAGGAGCUCGGGGAAACCCACAGGGCCCCUGCCGUCGCAGUCCAGUUCACCCACCACUUUCUGGAGCUCGGCCUUGGUGGGUGAGAAGCUGAGAGCUGAGCAUCACACCUGGAGAUGGAGCCUGGCGGGAAGACGAGCUCAUGUUGGCAAAGCUGCAUGCUGGCAGAUAACAGCCUCUUUUCCAGCCCUGGGGCAGUUUCCAGCUUCUCCAGUCACGUUCAACCCACAGCUGUAGCCGGAGAAGCCAGAGGGGAGAGAGCUACUCCAACCAUGGGAGGAAGCCUGCUGCUUCCGGAUCCCAUCAUAGAGCCCCGCUGGGGAGGGGCCAGAGUGGGAGCCCCCCACGGUCCUCCAUCCUCGAGCGCAGAGGAGAUGGGAGAGAGGCAGCGGUCUCUGCCUGGGGCUGGUCCACCCUAGCUCAGCUGAAACACAGGCUUCUCCAGCCCAGAGUCCAUGGGGUUGGACAGAAGGCAGUUUGGGGCCCCUCCCACCCAGACUGUGGGGCAGGCCCAGGACGCAUGCCUGUCGUAGAUGCUGGCCCUUCAGGAGUGGCUGCCCUGGGUAGGUUGGGGCUGGGAUGAAAGCCUGAGGCCUGGUCUCUGGGUCACUGUGUUGGGUAACUGCUGGCCAUGUUUGUAGAGCAUGCACACUCUUGUGUUCUGAUCUCUGCAGACCGUCCUUGAAGGAUGUGUGCUCCUGGGUCUGGGUAAUGUUUUUCCUUUCUCUUAAAAGAUAGACUUCUAAGAGCAGCUUUAGGUUCACAGCUAAACUAGGUGGAAAGUGUGACAUUUCAAUAUUCCUCCUCCCUCACACCCGUGGCUUCCCCGUCAUCAUCUCCACCGGUUGGUACUUGUGUUACAACUGAUGACCCCACAUGGACAUGUCAUUAUGACCCAGAGUCCACAGUUGACAUCAGGGGUCACUGUAGGUGGUGUGUGUCCUGUGGGUUUGGCCAAACAAAUAAUGACACAUAUAUUAUACAUCAAUACAGUAUCAUACAGAGAAGUUUCACUGCCCUAAAAACUCUCUGCUCUCCACCUGUUCAUCCCUCCCUCGCCACAAUCCCUCAAAAUCAGACCUUUUUAUCCUUGGCAUAUCUUGCCUUUUCCGUGACAUCAAACUAGUUGCAAUCAUAUAGCGUGUAGCCUUUGUUUCCUCCAUGUCUUCAUGACUUGACAGCUCGCUUAUUUUAGCAUGUAAUAAUAUUCCCAUCUGGAUGCCCUGUAGUUCAUUUAUCCAUCACCUACUGAAGGACACUUUGGUUGUUUUCAAGCUUUGGCAAUUAUGAAUAAAGUCACUGUGAAAAAGCA
Bos indicus x Bos taurus (hybrid cattle) is the source of this 1846-nucleotide long non-coding RNA. Lineage: Eukaryota; Metazoa; Chordata; Mammalia; Artiodactyla; Bovidae. The record is from Ensembl.